RNAcentral lists this ribosomal RNA (253 nucleotides) under uncultured bacterium. RNAcentral describes it as "partial 16S ribosomal RNA". It matches the Rfam family "Bacterial small subunit ribosomal RNA", at positions 524 to 776 of the family's 1533-position model. The record is from RNAcentral.
UACGAAAGGGGCUAGCGUUGUUCGGAAUUACUGGGCGUAAAGCGCGCGUAGGCGGCCUAGCAAGUUGGGGGUGAAAGCCCAGGGCUCAACCCUGGAAUUGCCUCCGAAACUGCUAAGCUCGAGGCCCAGAGAGGAGGGUGGAAGUCCUAGGGUAGAGGUGAAAUUCGUAGAUAUUAGGAAGAACACCGGUGGCGAAGGCGGCACUCUGGCCCGGUACUGACGCUGAGACGCGAAAGCGGCGGGAUCAAACAGG